This 869-nucleotide unclassified non-coding RNA is filed under the name Hevea brasiliensis (rubber tree). Lineage: Eukaryota; Viridiplantae; Streptophyta; Magnoliopsida; Malpighiales; Euphorbiaceae. The record is from RNAcentral.
GUGGAGGUGGAGGUGGAGGUGGAGAAGGGUGAGGUGCAGAAGGAGAUGGAGAUGGAAGAGAAGGAGGCGGAGAUUGCGGUGAUGGCGAUGGUGGUGGCAGCCGCGGAGGACGCGAUGGGGUUACAAAUGCGAGUGAUGCAUGGACAUUCUGUGGCUGUGAUUCAGCAAGAAGAGCACGGAAAUUACAUACAAGCCCUAAAAUCACAAAGAUCAGAGUAGGUAACUGUGUUUCCAUCAAACAAGAAAUUCCAAAGAAAAUAGGCGUUUGAUGAGAGGAUUCAAGAAGUUCUAGCAUCUGGGUACGAACCCAAAUUCUUGAAUUCCUUGCACUCAGUUUUAAAUUCAAGAAUUUGGGUUCUUCAAGAUUGGGGACCAGAGAACUAGGGUUUGAUCUCCGGAAUUCCUCGCUGUUGAGAAAAAAUCAAGGACACAGUCUAGUGGGUUCUUCCAAAUCCUGGUUUUCUGGAUUUGGUACCAGAGCUCUAGGGUUUCGGCAUAUGGCAUAAGGGGCUAUUUCUGACAAUGGAGGAGCAAUUGAUUUUUCGUUUUCUCGUAGGCAAUCAAGGAAAUGAGUGAAUUGGGUUGGUCCCCAAAAUUGAAGAACCUUGAUUUUUCACAGUAGUUGAGGAUCCUCGAUUUUCAUUAUCGAUUCUGCGUCAAAAUCAAAGAGGGUAUGGAAGAAAGGGUCAAAAGAGAUGUUGGGAAAGAGCCAUUAAUGAGAGAAGAAGAAGUUGUGUUUCUUCUCUGUUUCAGAGAAAUGCAGAAGUGGGACACAAAUGCUAGAAUGAAUGAGAAAGAGAAAGAGGGGCCAGGGGAACGCGGGUUCAUCGGUUGGUAGGGCCUAAUUUGGGUGAUUGUUUUGCCUAGAA